RNAcentral lists this ribosomal RNA (289 nucleotides) under Comamonas sp. 26. RNAcentral's name for it is "partial 23S ribosomal RNA". It matches the Rfam family "Bacterial large subunit ribosomal RNA", at positions 2642 to 2925 of the family's 2925-position model. Lineage: Bacteria; Pseudomonadati; Pseudomonadota; Betaproteobacteria; Burkholderiales; Comamonadaceae. The record is from RNAcentral.
CUUCCGUGGGCGCUGCAGAUUUGAGGAAGCCUGCUCCUAGUACGAGAGGACCGGAGUGGACACACCUCUGGUGUACCUGUUGUCACGCCAGUGGCAUCGCAGGGUAGCUAAGUGUGGAAGAGAUAACCGCUGAAAGCAUCUAAGCGGGAAACUCGUUUCAAGAUGAGAUCUGCCGGGGCCUUGAGCCCCCUGAAGGGUCGUUGUAGACCACGACGUUGAUAGGCUGGGUGUGGAAGCGCAGUAAUGCGUUAAGCUAACCAGUACUAAUUGCCCGAGCGGCUUGACCCUA